This 510-nucleotide ribosomal RNA is filed under the name uncultured Glomeraceae. RNAcentral's name for it is "SSU rRNA". It matches the Rfam family "Eukaryotic small subunit ribosomal RNA", at positions 569 to 1083 of the family's 1831-position model. The record is from RNAcentral. Lineage: Eukaryota; Fungi; Glomeromycota; Glomeromycetes; Glomerales; Glomeraceae.
AGCAGCCGCGGUAAUUCCAGCUCCAAUAACGUAUAUUAAAGUUGUUGCAGUUAAAAAGCUCGUAGUUGAACUUCGGGAUCAAUGGAUCGGUCAUGCCAUCGGUAUGUACUGGUCUCAUUGGUUCUCACCUUCUAAGGAACCUUAAUGUCAUUCAUUUGAUGUUUUGGGGAAUUAGGACUGUUACCUUGAAAAAUUAGAGUGUUUAAAGCAGGCUAACGCUUGAAUACAUUAGCAUGGAAUAAUGAAAUAGGACAUCGCAUUCUAUUUUGUUGGUUUCUAGGAUCGAUGUAAUGAUUAAUAGGGAUAGUUGGGGGCAUUAGUAUUCAAUUGUCAGAGGUGAAAUUCUUGGAUUUAUUGAAGACUAACUACUGCGAAAGCAUUUGCCAAGGAUGUUUUCAUUAAUCAAGAACGAAAGUUAGGGGAUCGAAGACGAUCAGAUACCGUCGUAGUCUUAACCAUAAACUAUGCCGACUAGGGAUCGGAUGAUGUUGUAUUUUUUAAUGUACUCUA